UGUUCGGACUUUCCGCCUUUAAACUAUUCAAUUUGUCUCGUGUUACCAUCGUACGUGCUGGGACCAUGAUCGGUCAUUCUAAAGUGAUGCACUUCAAGCUGGGUGACAACUGGCACAUUCCACGUCAACGGGUAACACGCAGAAUGGAAGGGACAUCAAACAACCACCGAAAAGAGCAAGCUAUAGCCCCUCUGAGUAGCACUCUUCCUUAUUGGUUUCAAUGACA
Dermacentor silvarum is the source of this 226-nucleotide long non-coding RNA. RefSeq lists it as uncharacterized. The record is from RefSeq and is a predicted model, not a curated record. NCBI's taxonomy places the organism in Eukaryota, Metazoa, Arthropoda, Arachnida, Ixodida, Ixodidae. The transcript is spliced from 3 exons.